UACGGGGGGGGCAAGCGUUGUUCGGAAUUACUGGGCGUAAAGGGCUCGUAGGUGGCCAACUAAGUCAUACGUGAAAUCCCUCGGCUUAACCGGGGAACUGCGUCUGAUACUGGAUGGCUUGAGUUUGGGAGAGGGAUGCGGAAUUCCAGGUGUAGCGGUGAAAUGCGUAGAUAUCUGGAGGAACACCGGUGGCGAAGGCGGCAUCCUGGACCAAUACUGACACUGAGGAGCAAAAGCCAGGGGAGCAAACGGG
This 253-nucleotide ribosomal RNA is filed under the name uncultured bacterium. Its description in RNAcentral is "partial 16S ribosomal RNA". It matches the Rfam family "Bacterial small subunit ribosomal RNA", at positions 524 to 776 of the family's 1533-position model. The record is from RNAcentral.